RNAcentral lists this unclassified non-coding RNA (148 nucleotides) under Colacogloea foliorum. Its description in RNAcentral is "ITS 1". The record is from RNAcentral. Lineage: Eukaryota; Fungi; Basidiomycota; Microbotryomycetes; Colacogloeaceae.
AUGAAUAUUAGGGUGCUACUCUUCAUCAGAGUUAGGCCCGACCUUCAUUCUUCUACACUGUGCACUUUUUAAUUGGGUGAAGCUUAACGGCUGAUCCCUACUCUUUAAACUCUACAAGUUAAAGAAUGUAAUAAAUCAAUAACAAAGA